CUACUACUCCCUCCGUCCAAAAAUACUUGUCAUUGAAAUGGAUGUAUCUAGAUGUAUUUUAGUUCUAGACACAUCCAUUUUGAUGACAAGUAAUUCUGGACGGAGGGAGUAUUAU
Triticum aestivum (bread wheat) is the source of this 115-nucleotide non-coding RNA. The record is from Rfam. NCBI's taxonomy places the organism in Eukaryota, Viridiplantae, Streptophyta, Magnoliopsida, Poales, Poaceae.